Molecule: ribosomal RNA, 1326 nt
Filed under: Dialysis sp. KW-2016
Lineage: Eukaryota; Metazoa; Arthropoda; Insecta; Diptera; Xylophagidae
Description: 16S ribosomal RNA
Rfam family: Archaeal large subunit ribosomal RNA (bases 1079-1238)
Source: RNAcentral
UUAGAUUUUAUUUAUUAAUGAUUGUUUAUUUAUUAUUUAUUUUAUUAUAAAUAAUUAUAUAUUUAUAGGUUUGAGUAUUUUAUAUAGAAUUAAUAAUUUUUAUAAUAGUUGAUUAGUAUUGUAAAAGAAAAUUUAAAUAUUUUGAAAAAUUAUUAUUAAAAAAGAAAAUUUAAUUUAUUGUACCUUUUGUAUCAGGGUUUUUUAAAUAAUAAAUAAUUAUAUUUAUUUUUUUCGAUUUUAAAAGAUUUAAUAAAUUAUAUUAGUUAAUGUGGUAUAAUUAUUAAUAAUAAUUUAUUAGAAAUAAAAUGUUAGUCGUUUUUAAAGGUAUCUAAUUAUUUAAGAAAUAAAUUUAAUUUAAUUUUUUUAAAUAUUUUAUAUUAAUUUAUUAAUAUAAAUUUUUAUUAAAAUAAUAAUUUAUGGGAUAAGCUAUAAAUUAAAUAUUUAUAAAUAAUUAAAUUAAUUAAUAUAUUUAUGUUUAGAAUUAGCAAUUAUUUAUAAGUAUGUUAUAAUAUAUUUUAUUUAUAUGAUUAUUUAUUUUUAUUUUAAUUUUUUAUUAAAUUAUUUAUUUUAAUUUUUUUUAUAAAUUAAUAAUGAUAGAAUUAGUAUAUAAAUAAUUAUAAUUAAGUAUAUAUGAUUAAUAUAUUUUUAUAAAGAAUUCGGCAAAAUUUAAUAUUCGCCUGUUUAGCAAAAACAUGUCUUUUAGAAUUUAAUUUAAAGUCUAACCUGCCCACUGAUUUAUUUAAUGGCCGCAGUAUUUUAACUGUGCAAAGGUAGCAUAAUCAUUAGUCUUUUAAUUAAGGGCUGGAAUGAAUGGUUGAACGAAAUAUUAACUGUUUCAUAAAAAUUAUAUGGAAUUUUAUUUUUUAGUUAAAAAGCUAAAAUAAGUUUAAAAGACGAGAAGACCCUAUAGAUCUUUAUAUUUUAAAUAUAUUUUUUAUUAAGUGAGAUUUAAAUAUUAUAUUUAUGAAUAUUUUAUUGGGGUGAUAGUAAAAUUUAAUUAACUUUUAUAUUUAUAAUAAACAUUAAUUUAUGAAUAAAUGAUCUAUUUUUAUUGAUUAAUAAAUUAAGUUACCUUAGGGAUAACAGCGUAAUUUUUUUAGAGAGUUCAUAUCGAUAAAAAAUAUUGCGACCUCGAUGUUGGAUUAAGAUAUUAGUUUAGGAGCAGAAAUUUAAAUAAUUGGUCUGUUCGACCAUUAAAAUCUUACAUGAUCUGAGUUCAAACCGGCGUAAGCCAGGUUGGUUUCUAUCUUUAGAUAAAGGAAAUAUUUUAGUACGAAAGGACCAUAUAUUUAAUUUAUAAUUUUAUUUAUAGAAUUUUAUUAAUUU